GUGUCAGCCGCCGCGGUAAUACGUAGGGUGCGAGCGUUAAUCGGAAUUACUGGGCGUAAAGCGUGCGUAGGCGGUUGUUCAAGCUCGAUGUGAAAGCCCCGGGCUUAACCUGGGAAUGGCACUGAGGACUGGACAGCUGGAGUGCGGCAGAGGGAGGUGGAAUUCCACGUGUAGCAGUGAAAUGCGUAGAGAUGUGGAGGAACACCGAUGGCGAAGGCAGCCUCCUGGGCCGACACUGACGCUGAUGCACGAAAGCGUGGGGAGCAAACAGGAUUAGAUACCCUGGUAGUCCACGCCCUAAACGAUGUCAACUGGUUGUUGGGGAAGGCAACUUCCUUAGUAACGAAGCUAACGCGUGAAGUUGACCGCCUGGGGAGUACGGCCGCAAGGUUAAA
RNAcentral lists this ribosomal RNA (395 nucleotides) under uncultured bacterium. Its description in RNAcentral is "bacterial SSU rRNA". It matches the Rfam family "Bacterial small subunit ribosomal RNA", at positions 505 to 898 of the family's 1533-position model. The record is from RNAcentral.